UACGUAUGGUGCAAGCGUUAUCCGGAUUUAUUGGGUUUAAAGGGUGCGUAGGCGGACGCUUAAGUCAGCGGUAAAAUUGCGGGGCUCAACCUCGUCGAGCCGUUGAAACUGGGUGCCUUGAGUGGGCGAGAAGUACGCGGAAUGCGUGGUGUAGCGGUGAAAUGCAUAGAUAUCACGCAGAACUCCGAUUGCGAAGGCAGCGUACCGGCGCCCAACUGACGCUGAAGCACGAAGGCGUGGGUAUCGAACAGG
This 252-nucleotide ribosomal RNA is filed under the name uncultured bacterium. RNAcentral's name for it is "partial 16S ribosomal RNA". It matches the Rfam family "Bacterial small subunit ribosomal RNA", at positions 524 to 776 of the family's 1533-position model. The record is from RNAcentral.